UACAGAGGGUGCAAGCGUUGCUCGGAAUUAUUGGGCGUAAAGGGUAGGUAGGUGGUCUCAUUUGUCUGGGGUGAAAUCCUUGGGCUUAACCCAAGAAGUGCCCCAGAAACGGUGAGACUGGAGUCCUGGAGAGGGUCGUGGAAUUCCCGGUGUAGCGGUGAAAUGCGUAGAGAUCGGGAGGAACACCAGAGGCGAAGGCGGCGACCUGGACAGGUACUGACACUCAACCACGAAAGCGUGGGGAGCAAACAGG
This 253-nucleotide ribosomal RNA is filed under the name uncultured bacterium. Its description in RNAcentral is "partial 16S ribosomal RNA". It matches the Rfam family "Bacterial small subunit ribosomal RNA", at positions 524 to 776 of the family's 1533-position model. The record is from RNAcentral.